RNAcentral lists this ribosomal RNA (491 nucleotides) under uncultured bacterium. RNAcentral's name for it is "partial 16S ribosomal RNA". It matches the Rfam family "Bacterial small subunit ribosomal RNA", at positions 29 to 506 of the family's 1533-position model. The record is from RNAcentral.
AGUGGACGCUGGCGGUAGGCCUAACACAUGCAAGUCGAACGGCAGCACAGUAAGAGCUUGCUCUUACGGGUGGCGAGUGGCGGACGGGUGAGGAAUACAUCGGAAUCUACUUUUUCGUGGGGGAUAACGUAGGGAAACUUACGCUAAUACCGCAUACGACCUACGGGUGAAAGCAGGGGAUCUUCGGACCUUGCGCGAUUGAAUGAGCCGAUGUCGGAUUAGCUAGUUGGCGGGGUAAAGGCCCACCAAGGCGACGAUCCGUAGCUGGUCUGAGAGGAUGAUCAGCCACACUGGAACUGAGACACGGUCCAGACUCCUACGGGAGGCAGCAGUGGGGAAGAUUGGACAAUGGGCGCAAGCCUGAUCCAGCCAUACCGCGUGGGUGAAGAAGGCCUUCGGGUUGUAAAGCCCUUUUGUUGGGAAAGAAAAGCAGCAGGUUAAUACCCCGCUGUUCUGACGGUACCCAAAGAAUAAGCACCGGCUAACUUCGU